UUUCAUACUGCUGUUGAUGAUGUGAAUUUUGGAAAUAUUCUCCCCUAUUGGGUCUUUCUCCAUGACAGAUGAUGUCCUUUGGCUUCGGUUUUUUGCCUAAGAACUGUAAGUGGUGCUUGCUAGCCCUACUAAGAAUCCUGCCAUUGUUGCAAAUUUCAGAAAAAAGUGAUUAUCCAGGGACUACAGAUGGGGUCAGCAGCAUGCCCAGUCACCUGCAUUGCCUAAUGAAUGGCUGACUGCCUCAGCAUCCCCUGGGCAGAGGCUGGAGUGCAGUGGUGCACACGCCUCACACUGUGACACAGCGGGAGAGCCCAGAGCGACAGCUGUUGGAAUGACUGCACUCUUCCUGCUCAAGUCUGACCUUUCCAAGGGUCUCACUCUGUCACCCAGGUUGGAGUAAAGUGGUAUGAUCAUGGCUCACUGCAGCCUCGAACUCCUGGGCUCAAGCAAUCCUCCUGCCUCAGCCUCCUGAGUAGCUGGGACUACAGCCUUUGUCCUAUGUCUGGAGACUUCUUGGAAGCUGGAGCACACAAAUAGCUACAGCAAACUUGAGGAAUGGGCAUGAAUAGACUGGCUUCGGGGAACCUGCCAGCUUGGCCGUGUGGCCAAGGUAAUAGGCAAGCCAAGGCAGAGCUAGAGCUCAGAGCUGGAGGGGAAAUUAAAGCAGCAAAUGUAGAAACAUUAAGCCUGAAGAGGCGACGACGUUGAAUUCUAAAAUGCAGGCCAAAGCUCAGACUGCAAGCUGUCUGGCUGCUCCGGGUGUGCCCAGAAGUCAAAGUCCAGCAGGGGCAAAGGUGGAGGUGUGGUCCUGCACGUGGGGUGUUGGGGGGAUGUGGAAGAGGAGGUGCUUUAAGAUCCAGAGAUUCCAGCUGCCCUGGUGCACCCUUGGAAGAAUAAAAGGCUAGGAACUGGACAAGUCAGGCUCGAGUCCAAGCUGCCUGAGGAAUCGGGGAAAGAAUGGAGCUCAGAGUGGGAGGUCAGGGCAGUAUUUAAAAAUCCAGGAUAGCAGCAAAGCUGGCGGUGGCCCCUGACUCUGGUAAGGGCAGCCUGCAGCACCAUGCCAAGGGGGGCCUGACUGAUCAUGCCCUGCAUUUGCAAACAAGGAUUAGUAGGGUAUGAGUAGGAUUCUGCUGGUGCCUGGGAAGGCAGUGCCAUCUACAACUUUACAAAGUUUUAACAAAGGCCUGAAGGACACAACCUUCCCCAAAGUCCUGACGUCGCUGUUUGCUGGCAACAAAUAGAGUCAAAAGAAGAGAGGCACAGAAUGUGCCAGGGGUGUGCUGCGUACAGCCCCGAUGACCACAAGGCCUUCUUGGGUCAAGUUCUGCCAUCUCUGGUUAAGAUGGGCUCACCCUCUAGGACCCUGAUUGAGUCCUCGGACCACCAAGAGUGCCCCACCAAGAGCCUCCCUCUUCUGGUGACUCGUGCCUGCUUCCCGUGGAGAGCUCCAGAAGGGAGGAAACUGUGAGGAGGUGGAGAACGUGGCAGGGAUCCUAACUUUCUUACUGAAGGAAGUUCUUCACAAGUACCCAUCUGCCUUCAGGGAAGAAAACAUAACUCAUUUUGGUCUUUCAAAUUCAGUUCUCAAAACCAAAUCCUGUUGUCAGCAAUCUGUGUCCCAACGCCUUCUUCAGCAACAGCAUUUUCCCUGUGGAAUUAGUUUCCAAUGUUCUUUCUUAAAUAAACCACUGAAGAUUAAAAGGAAUCCAGAUACCCACCACAUUUUGUUUCCUUAAUGAGUAAUUAUCACAUUUCUUUGGCUACUUAAAUGCAUUCUCUGAGUCAGGUAAAGGAGAUCGUAAUAGUUAAUCAACAAGAAGUAAUUCUUGGGUACUUAACAAUAGUCUAAGCACUUAAUCAUACUUAAAAUUGACUAUUAAUGAACCUUAUAAACCAUUUUGCAAUUCUGAAAGUGAAUUUCUCUGCAGGCUUAGAGAUUACUAAGCCAUUUAGAUCUUACCAAACAAAUAUUAUUCAUGCUUUAAUUCCUGGGAAAAGAAAUUUAGAAAAUGAGGUUAAUGUUCAGUUGUCCUUUCCUGAGUUUAACAAUUAUAUAUUCCAUCUGGGAUGCUCUGAACUCAGGUUAAACAUUCUUCAAGUUAUUCCCACAUUUUUCAAGUUAUUCCCACGUUAGUGACCUACUUUAUUAGUAUUAUUACUAAAGAAAAGGGCUGGGUGCGGUGGCCCACAUCUGUAAUCCCAGCACUUUGGGAGGCUGAAGCAGGAGGAUCACUUGAGCUUGGGAGUUCAAGACCAGCCUGAGAGGGAGACUCCGUCUCUACAAAAAAAAAAAAAUUAGCCAGGUAUGGUGGCACGCGCUCAUGGGCCCAGCUACUCAAGGAGGCUGAGGUGGGAGGAUCACGUGAACCUGGGAGGCAGAGCCUGCAGUGAGCCCUGGUUGUGCCUCUGUACUCAAGCCUGAGAGACAGAGUGAGACCCUGUCUCCAAACAAUAAAGUAAAAUAAAUAAAUAAAUAAAUAAGAAUGCAAAUCAAAGACAUUAAGAAAUAGCUUUACUUUAAUGUAGGCAUUUAAGGUAAAAUAGGUCACAUUCUCUUUUUUAAAAAAAUUACUGACCCACAGAAAAACAAGUCAAAAAGCAGACUAUUUCAUAUUAGUGUCUUUUUUUUAAAGAGGAUUAAUAUAAAUUGCCUUCUCACCUGUUUUUAAAAUAAAGGACUGAAUGAUAGAACUUAGACAACAAAUCUAGUAGCAUGAUAAAAGCCUUUCUUUGAUAGCUAGAAAAGGUAAACAAAGAAUAAAACAGGGUGAAGAAGAAAGAGGACAGAUAGAAUGUGAAUAUUAUCUACCUUUUUCUCAAGAUAAAACUAAUAUUGCUUUCUAAAAAGAAGCAAUUCUUUAGAGCAGAGGUCAGCAAACUUUUUCUAUAAAGAGCCAGAUAUUAACUAUUUUAUAAUUUGCAAACCACAUAAGUCCUCUGUUUCAUAUGGGUUUUUUUCUUUUUUCUUUUUAAACAAUACUUUAAAAAUGCUGAAAAUAUUCUUAGCUUACAUCUACAAAAAAGCAGGCAGUGGGCUGAUUUGACUCACAGGUGGUAUAGCUUGCUAAUUCCUGCUUUAGAUUUUAAGAAUGAGGCAGAUGUUGCCAGAAUUUGCUCUAAUUUACUAUGAGGUUUGCAAAUAAAAGUGCUCUUGACAUGAAAACUUGCUAUUUUUAAUGGAAAGACAUGUACAGCCCUUUCUCAGGAAGUGGAGAUUAAUGCAUAAAAUUUUAUUUUCCUAACAUAAAGCAUGUUUUUUCAAAAAAUGGCUUCUCCAUCUUGUGGCCCUUUGAUUAUGAUAGCUCUGAAAGCUUUGAAAAGCUUGCAAAUACUCAACUUCAGGAAUAAAACCACCUAUGAGACCCUCACCUGAAGGCAGGAUCUUUCCUGCAGCCUUGAGUCUUCCUAAUCAGAACCAUUGUUUCGUAAACUGGACUCCGAAGACAACACUUAAAGUCACUCAAGUUCGCUACAAAAUUCUUGUUUUGUGUUUUCAUUUCUAAAGACAAUAAAAAUAAUUGAUAUGAUCAAGUUUGGGAUUAUCUAGAUGAUCUAGACAACUAUUGCGGUCAAAAUAGGCCUGAUCACAGGCAUUUUCAGUACCCAUGGAAUUCUAGAGCUUUGGAUACUUGUCUAGUCUGUUUGGGUCACUAUAACAAAAUGCCAUAAACUGGGUGCUUAUAAAGAACAGAAUUUUAUUUCCCACAGUUCUGCAGGCUGGGAAGUCCAAAAUCGAGGCAGAUUUGAUGUCCUCAAGUGAUGGAAGAAUCAAGAGGUCUCUCUGGGGGCUCUUUUAUAAGGGCACUAACCCCAUUCAUGAGAGCAGAGCCUAAUUACCUCCCUAAGGCCCCAACUCCUAAUACUAUCACCUUGAGGGUGAGGAGGGAAACAUAAAAAUACCAUAGUAAUACUAAUAGGUACAUCAGUGAAGAACAAUAUCACAGUAUCGUGUAGACAGGAAGAUUUUGCUGCAAUUUGGUUGUUAAAACAAAAAGUCGUGGGUGGAUACAAUCAUCAGACAGUUCAGAAGUGGCAUCCACGUACUCACCCAAAGGAGGUGCACUGCAGUUGUGGGAGCCCUGUGCUUGCUACUAGCAGUGACUUAAUUUCUGCAAAGCUAUGUGAUCACAUUCAACUAUGCUAGUUAACUUUAAUUUUACUGAAUUUGGUUUAGGUAGGUAGUUUGUAAAUUUAACUUUCUACUUGUAUAAGAAGUAUAAUUAUAAAAACAGCAGGUCAGCACGACAGGUCUGAGAGAAUCUGUAUUCUGUAAAAAAAUACCUAUUUCUUACUUGGCGAAAAACAUUAGUCAAUGUUGCACCAAAAACCCCCCAAAAGCUAUAGAUCAGAUAUUGACUAAAAUGAAUAUACAAAAAUCUUGACUGGAAAUAUUUUAAGUCAAAACUAACAGCCUAUUUCAGGUAUUGACAGAACAAAUUCCAGAAGCAGAAUAACUGAAACAAUCAUGUUGAAAUUAAUUAUAAUGGGCAGAAUUUGACUGAAACUUGUUACCACCUUCACCAAAAUAUAGCCUUUCUUAUACUAUCAAAUGUAUUGAAUAAAUUGUGAGCACUUUCUUGUACAACUUCUAAAAAUUUAGCUUUGCUUUUGUUAUCUGAAUAUUGUACAGGAAUAUGAGCAUGCAAAUAAGAUCUUUGUUUAGUUUCAAGUCUUUUUAUAACUAAAUCUGCUGGCAUUAGAC
RNAcentral lists this long non-coding RNA (4702 nucleotides) under Homo sapiens (human). RNAcentral describes it as "LHRI_LNC9.10". The record is from RNAcentral. Lineage: Eukaryota; Metazoa; Chordata; Mammalia; Primates; Hominidae.